GCCUCUUGAUUAAACCAUAAGAGGUCCAGCCUGCCCAGUGACAUUGUUCAACGGCCGCGGUAUCCUAACCGUGCGAAGGUAGCGUAAUCACUUGUCCUUUAAAUGAAGACUAGUAUGAAUGGCCUCACGAAAGCUAUACUGUCUCCUUUUUCCAAUCAGUUAAACUAAUCUCCCCGUGAAGAAGCGAGGAUAAAUAUAUAAGACGAGAAGACCCUAUGGAGCUUUAAACAAUCGAAACACCUGUAUAUUUGUUUUAUCUAAAUCUACAUAUAACCCCACAUUUUGUUUCUAGUUUUAGGUUGGGGUGACCGCGGAGAAAAAAUCAACCUCCACGCUGAAAGAGAUAUCUCUAAACAAAAAGCUACACCUUUAUGUAUUAACAUAUUAACCCUAAUUGACCCAAUAAAUUGAUCAACGAACCAAG
RNAcentral lists this ribosomal RNA (424 nucleotides) under Anomaloglossus sp. 4 aff. baeobatrachus ABGD cluster 9. Its description in RNAcentral is "partial large subunit ribosomal RNA". It matches the Rfam family "Bacterial large subunit ribosomal RNA", at positions 1816 to 2461 of the family's 2925-position model. The record is from RNAcentral. Lineage: Eukaryota; Metazoa; Chordata; Amphibia; Anura; Aromobatidae.